UUGGAGGGCAAGUCUGGUGCCAGCAGCCGCGGUAAUUCCAGCUCCAAUAGCGUAUAUUAAAGUUGUUGCAGUUAAAAAGCUCGUAGUUGAAUUUCGGGGUUAGUAGGUUGGUCAUGCCUCUGGUAUGUACUGGUCUCACUGAUUCCUCCUUCCUGAUGAACCUUAAUGCCAUUAAUUUGGUGUUUUGGGGAAUUUGGACUGUUACUUUGAAAAAAUUAGAGUGUUUAAAGCAAGCUAACGCUUGAAUACAUUAGCAUGGAAUAAUGAAAUAGGACGUUCGAUCCUAUUUUGUUGGUUUCUAGGAUUGACGUAAUGAUUAAUAGGGAUAGUUGGGGGCAUAGUAUUCAAUUGUCAGAGGUGAAAUUCUUGGAUUUAUUGAAGACUAACUACUGCGAAAGCAUUUGCCAAGGAUGUUUUCAUUAAUCAAGAACGAAAGUUAGGGGGUCGAAGACGAUCAGAUACCGUCGUAGUCUUAACCAUAAACUAUGCCGACUAGGGAUCGGAUGAUGUUAAUUUUUUAAUGACUCAUUCGGCGCCUUACGGGAAAC
RNAcentral lists this ribosomal RNA (548 nucleotides) under uncultured Glomus. Its description in RNAcentral is "SSU rRNA". It matches the Rfam family "Eukaryotic small subunit ribosomal RNA", at positions 548 to 1098 of the family's 1831-position model. The record is from RNAcentral. Lineage: Eukaryota; Fungi; Glomeromycota; Glomeromycetes; Glomerales; Glomeraceae.